CCUACGGGAGGCAGCAGUGAGGAAUAUUGGUCAAUGGACGCAAGUCUGAACCAGCCAUGCCGCGUGCAGGAUGACGGCUCUAUGAGUUGUAAACUGCUUUUGUAAGAGGGUAAACGCAGAUACGUGUCCCUGUUUGAAAGUACCGUACGAAUAAGGAUCGGCUAACUCCGUGCCAGCAGCCGCGGUAAUACGGAGGAUUCGAGCGUUAUCCGGAUUUAUUGGGUUUAAAGGGUGCGUAGGCGGGCGUGUAAGUUAGCGGUGAAAGCCCGUGGCUCAACCUUGGAAUUGCCUUUGAUACUGGUCGGCUAGAGAAUAUUUGAGGUAGGCGGAAUGUAUGGUGUAGCGGUGAAAUGCUUAGAGAUCAUACAGAACCCCGAUUGCGAAGGCAGCUUACCAAGCUACGACUGACGUUGAGGCACGAAAGCGUGGGGAGCAAACAGGAUUAGAUACCCGAGUAGUC
Molecule: ribosomal RNA, 460 nt
Filed under: uncultured bacterium
Lineage: Bacteria
Description: partial 16S ribosomal RNA
Rfam family: Bacterial small subunit ribosomal RNA
Source: RNAcentral